GUUUCCUGUCCCGGAGGCGGGGGUGCAGCGGGUGGGAGGCUCUGGCUGUUUGUUUAGGCAGACUAAGAGGAGUUACCCGAGGGCAGGGAUCAUGUCAUAUUCAUCCAUGAAUUCCCACCCCUGAGCCCAAGCCUGGCACCAGCGAUACUCCAGUGAAUGAGCCCAUUCAGUGAUCACGCAAAGUGUGGGGCGAGCUCCACCCCCUGAGGAUCCACACCAGACUCUAGGUAAAGCAGUGCCUUCCAUGUGUCUGGUCAAAGGACUUUCAGAAGGAUUCCUUCCCUCUCAUCAACACAUCGUGGCCUGUCCUUGCCAAAGCAGCUCAAGGAGUCUUCGCCCUGGGACC
Mustela lutreola (European mink) is the source of this 346-nucleotide long non-coding RNA. RefSeq lists it as uncharacterized. The transcript has 3 exons. The record is from RefSeq and is a predicted model, not a curated record. Lineage: Eukaryota; Metazoa; Chordata; Mammalia; Carnivora; Mustelidae.